RNAcentral lists this transfer RNA (71 nucleotides) under Loxodonta africana (African savanna elephant). It matches the Rfam family "tRNA". Rfam says of the family: Transfer RNA (tRNA) molecules are approximately 80 nucleotides in length. Their secondary structure includes four short double-helical elements and three loops (D, anti-codon, and T loops). Lineage: Eukaryota; Metazoa; Chordata; Mammalia; Proboscidea; Elephantidae. The record is from Rfam by way of RNAcentral.
ACAGUGGUGCUUCAGUGAUAGAAGUCUUGCCUUUCAUGCAGGAGACCCGGGUUUGACUCCUGCCCAGUGCA